UGGGGAAUAUUGCACAAUGGAGGGAACUCUGAUGCAGCGACGCCGCGUGAGUGAUGAAGGAAUUCGUUUCGUAAAACUCUGUUCUAUGGGAAGAAAAGGACUGUACCAUAGGAGAAAGCUCCGGCUAAAUACGUGCCAGCAGCCGCGGUAAUACGUAUGGAGCGAGCGUUGUCCGGAAUUAUUGGGCGUAAAGGGUGCGCAGGCGGCUUUACAAGUUGGAUGUGAAAUAUUGUGGCUCAACCACAAACGUGCAUCCAAAACUGCAAAGCUUGAGUUAAGGAGAGGUAAGUGGAAUUCCUGGUGUAGCGGUGGAAUGCGUAGAUAUCAGGAGGAAUACCGGUGGCGAAGGCGACUUACUGGACUUAAACUGACGCUCAGGCACGAAAGCGUGGGGAGCAGACAGG
This 404-nucleotide ribosomal RNA is filed under the name Fusobacteriota bacterium. RNAcentral describes it as "Fusobacteria bacterium partial 16S ribosomal RNA". It matches the Rfam family "Bacterial small subunit ribosomal RNA", at positions 355 to 776 of the family's 1533-position model. The record is from RNAcentral. Lineage: Bacteria; Fusobacteriati; Fusobacteriota.